UACGAAGGGGGCGAGCGUUGUUCGGAAUCACUGGGCGUAAAGGGCGCGUAGGCGGCCCUCUUAGUCGCGUGUGAAAGCCCCGGGCUCAACCUGGGAACGGCGCGCGAAACGGGAGGGCUGGAGUUCGGGAGAGGAGAGUGGAAUUCCCAGUGUAGAGGUGAAAUUCGUAGAUAUCAGGAGGAACACCCGUGGCGAAAGCGGCUCUCUGGGACGGUACUGACGCUGAGACGCGAAAGCGUGGGGAGCAAACAGG
This 253-nucleotide ribosomal RNA is filed under the name uncultured bacterium. RNAcentral's name for it is "partial 16S ribosomal RNA". It matches the Rfam family "Bacterial small subunit ribosomal RNA", at positions 524 to 776 of the family's 1533-position model. The record is from RNAcentral.